RNAcentral lists this ribosomal RNA (403 nucleotides) under Verrucomicrobiota bacterium. RNAcentral describes it as "Verrucomicrobia bacterium partial 16S ribosomal RNA". It matches the Rfam family "Bacterial small subunit ribosomal RNA", at positions 355 to 776 of the family's 1533-position model. Lineage: Bacteria; Pseudomonadati; Verrucomicrobiota. The record is from RNAcentral.
UGUGGAAUAUUGCACAAUGGGGGAAACCCUGAUGCAGCGACGCCGCGUGAGCGAAGAAGGCUUUCGAGUCGUAAAGCUCUGUCCUAUGAGAAGAUAAUGACGGUAUCAUAGGAGGAAGCCCUGGCUAAAUACGUGCCAGCAGCCGCGGUAAUACGUAUGGGGCGAGCGUUGUCCGGAAUUAUUGGGCGUAAAGGGUACGUAGGCGGUUUUUUAAGUCAGGUGUCAAAGCGUGGAGCUUAACUCCAUUAAGCACUUGAAACUGAAAGACUUGAGUGAAGGAGAGGAAAGUGGAAUUCCUAGUGUAGCGGUGAAAUGCGUAGAUAUUAGGAGGAAUACCGGUGGCGAAGGCGACUUUCUGGACUUUUACUGACGCUCAGGUACGAAAGCGUGGGGAGCAAACAGG